UUUCGAUGUUGGGACUUUUGAAUCGACGAUCAGCUCAGUUAGACUUGAUCUAGAGUAUUUUAAGUAUCUAGAAAAUAAAUUUUGUAAUUUUUUGAUAUCAUUUGCCUAAGAUCGAAGUGGCUCAAAAUCAACGGCUGAAAAUAAAAAUUUUACAAAAUAUGAUGAUAUGACAUUAAAAUUUUAGAUCAAAAAUAUUGAUCUUGUUUUAUAUAGUAUAAAAAAUUUUCUAUCAAAAUUUUACGUGAUUUGGAUAUUUCUACACCGCUAAACUUGCAAACGGCUUACUAUGGCCAUUAAAAUUAUUGAUUUUGAGCCCUUUCGAUCACUAGGCAAAUGAUAUCAAAAAAUCAUAAAAUUUAUUCUCUAAGUACUUGAAAUACUCUAAAUCAAGUUUGACGGAGCCAAUCGUCAAUUCGAAAGUCCUAACAUUGAAAACGACUUGGAAGCACGGAAGGCUUCGUGCUUCCAGAAGCAUACCAGCUCACUCUAUAUAGAGCUAGGCUCCUAUACUAUAGUCUCGUAC
Molecule: long non-coding RNA, 523 nt
Filed under: Ananas comosus (pineapple)
Lineage: Eukaryota; Viridiplantae; Streptophyta; Magnoliopsida; Poales; Bromeliaceae
Description: long non-coding RNA (ACOM_LNC025900)
Source: RNAcentral